Molecule: transfer-messenger RNA, 81 nt
Filed under: Ehrlichia sennetsu str. Miyayama
Lineage: Bacteria; Pseudomonadati; Pseudomonadota; Alphaproteobacteria; Rickettsiales; Anaplasmataceae
Description: Neorickettsia sennetsu str. Miyayama transfer-messenger RNA Neori_senne_Miyaya
Rfam family: Alphaproteobacteria transfer-messenger RNA
About the family: Bacterial tmRNA, also known as 10Sa RNA or SsrA, is named for its dual tRNA and mRNA-like properties.
Source: RNAcentral
GCGCUGUUUUGCGCUAUGACAAUAAAUGGUUUUUCGUAAUAGGUAUCUUGGACCCGAAGGCGGAGUUCGGCACCUCCACCA